This 464-nucleotide ribosomal RNA is filed under the name uncultured Geobacteraceae bacterium. RNAcentral's name for it is "partial 16S ribosomal RNA". It matches the Rfam family "Bacterial small subunit ribosomal RNA", at positions 338 to 794 of the family's 1533-position model. Lineage: Bacteria; Pseudomonadati; Thermodesulfobacteriota; Desulfuromonadia; Geobacterales; Geobacteraceae. The record is from RNAcentral.
CCUACGGGGGUCAGCAGUGGGGAAUUUUGCGCAAUGGGGGCAACCCUGACGCAGCAACGCCGCGUGAGUGAUGAAGGCCUUCGGGUCGUAAAGCUCUGUCAGGGGGGAAGAAAUGCAGGUGGUGAACAACCAUUCUGUUUGACGGUACCCUCAAAGGAAGCACCGGCUAACUCCGUGCCAGCAGCCGCGGUAAUACGGAGGGUGCGAGCGUUGUUCGGAAUUAUUGGGCGUAAAGCGCGUGUAGGCGGUUUGUUAAGUCUGAGGUAAAAGCCCCGGGCUAAACCGGGGAAGUGCAUUGGAUACUGGCAGACUUGAGUACGGGAGAGGAGAGUGGAAUUCCCAGUGUAGGAGUGAAAUCCGUAGAUAUUGGGAGGAACACCGGUGGCGAAGGCGGCUCUCUGGACUGCCCCUGACGCUGAAGAGCGAAAGCUAGGGUAGCGAACGGGAUUAGAUCCCCUUGUAGU